AGGAUCUGGGCCGCUCUAAAAUUGUUCUCUGUUCCAGCCCCCACCCCCCUCCUGGAAUCAGGUCCCCUGUACAAUGAGCCCCAAUGGAUGACUCCAUUCCUGCUUGUCUGACGCCAAAUCAGGACGUCUUUCCAGCUUCCUGCAGCUGGAGACAUCAUGCCCUUCUUGCAGCUUCCCAAACCGACUUCUUGACUUGGCCUCAGAAAUCCCCAGAUGCUCUUUCUGGAGGCUUAAGCCUUGCUCCACCUGCGGGCAGUUGGGGGAUUGGCGGGCUCCAGCCGCGCGAUUUUGCAGCCAUUGCUGCCCCCUGGUGAUGUCUUUUGACGCUGCGGUGCUCUCUGGCCUGGCACUUCCAAACCAACAGGUUCAGGUCUGUCUUUAAGGUAGAUACUGUUUCCAUCAUUUCCAGCGGGGGAGCUGGAAUUAACGGGAAGGUGGAUGAAUGGCUCAGUAAUCCCAGCACUUGGGAACUGAGAGACACCUGCUUCCACGCUUGACCCAAGGUCACUCAAUGGCUUGAACUUGAUGUCCUUCUGAUUUUAGAACCAAAUCGGGUGCGUUCCAGAAAACCUGAGAAACAGAAAGUGGUAAAGAAAAUAAAGACUACCUGGAGUUCCUGUCGUGGGUCAGUGGUUAAGUAACCCGACUAGGAUCCAUGAGGACGUGGGUUCGAUCCCUGCCCUCGCUCAGUGGGUUAAGGAUCCAGCGUUGCCGUGAGCUGUGGUGUAGGUCACAGACAAGGCUUGGAUCUGGCAUUGCUCUGGCUGUGGCAUAGGCUAGCCGCUACAGCUCCGAUUCGACCCCUAGCCUGGGAACCUCCAUAUGCCAUGGGUAUGGCCCUAAAAAGACAAGAAAGAAAAGAAAAGAAAGAUUACCUGUAAGUCCUGAGACACCAACUGUUAACCAUUUUGGUGUAUAGCCUUCUAAUAUGUCUUUUUAGGUGUAUAUAUAUCAAUGCACUUACUAUUACAAAAUUGGGUUUGUGUGUGUGUGUUGUUUUUGUGAAGCAUUUAAUAUGUCUUUAAUUUAGAAGCAGAAGAAAAUCUGGAAAAUUAGAAAAGCAAAGGGGAUACAAUUUUAACACUUAAAAUCCCACCAUCCAGAGAUAGCCUUUCUUCCCAAAUUAGUUUCUAUGUAUGACAGUUGAUGCUUUUUUAUCCUUCUCUUUUACAAAAAUCCAAUUCUGAAAUUAAAAAAUUUUUCCCAAGGGAAAAUGUAUUCUCAUACUUUGGAUUACCCCACAACAGUGUACACUUUCUUUUUUUCCCUCCCCAGCAGUUUCUCACCAUCUUCUGGAAACAUUCUCCACCACCCCUCCUUCCUCCACCUCCCCUGACAUUCCAUUCAUAAGGCUCCCGCUUCCACAGGAGCAACCAGGCCUCCUGUGAGCCUGCGUGUAUUCAUCUAUGGGAUCAAUUCUUAGAAGGAGAGUACAUGCUUUUUGUAAGUCUUUUUUUUUUUUUUUUUUUUUUUUUUUUUGCUUUUUAGGGCCACUCCCAUGGCACUAUGGAAGUUCCCAACUAGGGGUCAAAUCAGAGCUGUAGCUGCUGGCCUCUGCCACAGCCAUAGCAACAUCAGAUCCUAGCUGCAUCACAGCUUGUGGCAAUGUAGGAUCCUUAACCCACUGAAUGAGGCCAGGGAUUGAACCUGCAUCCUCAUGGAUACUGUGUUGGGCUCUUAACCCUGCUGAGUGGGAACUCCUAUACAUCUUGUUAGAGACCACCAAACUCUUUUGCAAGAAAAUCACAGCACUUUGGAUGUCCACCAUCAGCCAGGAGAGGGCUGGUUUCCCAGAUGGAUCACCAACAGAGUGUUGUCAAACUUUUGGCCCUGGGAUCAUAUAACUUUACCUACAAUGGGCUGAGUGUGUGUUCUGCCAGACACCAGAUGCAGUGCUGUCCAUUUAGUAAUACUCAUUGAAUCCUCCCAAUAACCCAAUGAUGGAAAUAGUAUUCACUUCAUCUUCGAGAUGAGGAAACUGAGGUUUAGAGGGCUUAGCCUGCCUCAGUACAGGGAACCGAGCUGAAUCCAACUCUAGCCUUCAUUCUCACCUCCACCCAGUGAUCCUCAAGUUGGAACGGAUUGGAUCAAAAUUCUUUGGAGAGAUUUGUGAGAAGUUGGUAGCAUUUCUGAUUCCAUAGGUGUAGAAAGGGCCUGAGAACAUGCUAUUGAGGUAGGAGGUUGAUGGGCCUCUGGGCUGAGAACAGCUGGGACUUGUAAGGCUGCAUAAAUUGGGCCUUGCUUCUCUCGGACACUCAAGGAGAAAGUUAAUGGCAGGAGCGGAGCUCUGCUGGAAUGAAAAAGAUUAGAUGACCACAUCAAUCACUUCUGGGGUCAAGGAGACCUCCCCGAUUACACAUGGGCAGAAAAACUCUUAGGGGCCCAAGGGGAGGGGGCACCAGGCCAUAAUAAGUCCUGUUAACUGUCCCGUAAGCCCUUGCUCUGGAAUCUAUCUUGGCCAAAAGAUGGGCAUGCAUAUCAGGGAGGACCCUGGGUCCGGUCAGGUGUGAGAAAUAAAACACAAUACUUGGCCAAAGGAAAACAAAGACCCAGAAGAAAUGUCCCAUAUAAGUGGUUUAAAUCGCCCCUCUGGCGUAUGCCUUAUUUAGGGUGACGCCUGCACCUGCAUUCCUCCUUUGGGUGUGUAUUACUGCCUUGCUGCUGUCUUAAAUAAAUAAAGUACUUCCCUGUGUGCUCUCCCACAUCUCCUGUGUCUCUGAUAAUAAACUUUGUACCAGUUUUUACAGUCUUUGCCUCCUUGAAACAUUCUUGUUUUCAACAGGGGCAAGAAUCAGGGCAGUUCUGCUUUUAGCCUCUAGCUGGUCUAGUGGCUAGGAUUCCUGGUUUUCAUCCAGGCUGCCUAGGUUCAAUUCCUGAGCAGAAAAUUAAGAUGUUGCUUCAAGCCCUCGCUCACUGCUGUCUCUCCGAGAUCACUCUCUAGAAACGACCUUGCUCACCUGCCAUUGAGUGCUUGUUUGCAUUGUACAUGUUCUACGAACAUUUUGUUUGCAGGUCUAUAUGGGAGAAAUGGGAAUAGAUCUUUCAUAGCCUCUUGAAUGCACCAAGUUAGGUUUGUGUUUUUCAUUUCUUCAAGACUGUUUCCUCACUCUUUUAUUUUAUUUAUUUUUUUCUUUCUUUUUUCUUUUUUUUAGGUCCACCCCCGAGGCAUAUGGAAUUUUCCCAGGCAGGGGUCAAAUCAGAGCUACAGCUGCCAGCCUAUGCCACAGACACAGCAAUACCAGAUCCAAGCGAAAAUGCAGGAGCCUUACCCCCUAAGCCAUUGGAGAACUCCCUCCCCACCUUUUUAAUGGAGAUGGUACCCAGAGGAACUGAGGACUGUGAAAUGCUGAACCAAAGCCGGUUCUAAUUAUGCCUAUUGGUGGAGAAGCUGUGAAGUACAGCAGAAAACACUUUGGAUUGAGAUGGUGACUGAAGGUGAUGAUAGACAAAUCUGUUUACUGCGCUGAGCCUCAAAUGCCUUCUCUGGGCACAUCAUGGGCUCCUUGAGGGUUAAACAAGCCCUUGUGUGUGUUGUUCCAAGGGCUCCUUCUGCUCCAGAAGCUCCAGAGGCAGUGGUGGCCUCUGUGCCAGUCAGGCUGACUCCAGAACAGUGGUUACCCCUUGGGAUGCUUCCAGCCAUUGUGCCUCUCCGUUCUCAGGAAGAGAGUUCAUUUCCAGCUACGUUCCCAGAAACUCUGGGACGCCCUGUUCUUUUCAUGUUCUAGUGAGGACCUCUCUGUCACACCAAGUGGCUUCUUUUCCACAAUUGGAAAUCAGCAAUGUGAGGACAUGUCUUCAGAUUCCCGAAAAGUGCCCUGUUGAACACUAUGACCCUGGGGGCUCCUGGGCUAGUGCCAGUUGUUCUAGGGGAUGUAGCUAUGGCCGUGGACAAGAUAGAAAGCCCUGCCCUCUUAAGCCUGUUGAUCCUGUGUCCCUCAGUAUGUCAACGCUGAAGCUGGAUGUUUCCUUGGAAUCUGAUGAGGGGCAAAUGGGCAAAUUCACAGAGCAUUUGAGGUUGAUCUGAAAUUGACCCAGUGGAGCUCAGGUCUCCAGGAGCACUGGCCGUGAGACACAGCUGGAACUUCUCACAGGGAUCUGGAACUCCUGUUCUCUUGCAGAUGCUGGCUCAGUAGGUCAGGACUGGGGCCCAAGAACUUGCAUUUCUAACGAACUCAGAUGUUGCUGGGCUAUGGACUAUAAUUUGCCUAUCCAGAGUUUAGUAAUGGCUGUAUCAUCACUACCAAAUGUAAUCUUAUUUUUUUGCAGCUUUCAGUGAUGUUUUUUUCCUUUUUAUGGCCACACCUGUAGCAUAUGGAAGUUCUCGGGCUAGGGAUCAAAUUGGAGCUGCAGCUGCUGGCCUACACCACGGCCACAGCCAUGCCAGAUCCAAGCCGCAUCUGUGACCUGGAACACAGCUUGCAGUACUGCCAGAUACUUAACCCACUGAGCAUGGCCAGGGAUCCAGCCUACAUCCUCGUGGAUGCUAUGUCAGGUUCUUAACCCACUGAACCACAAUGGGAACUCCUUCAGUGACAUUCUGAAUAUACUAGAACACACAUUCUGAAAAACUAAUUUUAUUAGAGCAUUCCAGUUGUUUACGUUUUUGGACAGGGCUGUGGGUUUGGGUGUCAGACCCUGGCUCCUACUAUUGUUUUCAAGUGACCAGAAACAGCCUUGAACUUGCAAUACUGAAGCCCCAGUUUUUCAUCUGUGAGCAGAGACUUUUCCUACCUCUGUCUUGUUUAGGCAAAACCUAAAUUGCUGGACAUUUUAAAAGGAUGGAUUCAAGGGUCUCCCUGUAACUAUUUUAAUCUGGGUUAAAAACUAUCUUCCCCUGGGUUAGCCCGAGGAAGCUGCUGGGAUGCUGAAAUCUUACCAGCAUAUUGAUGCCCUGGCAUUCUGAAUCCAUGUGCAGUGUCUCUAGACAAAUACACGACAGGCAUCCAUCCGUUGAACGUUUGCUAUGUGCUGGGCAGUCUGUCACCUGACAUCCAGGAAUUACCUUGUUGACUACAACUCUCUGAGGUAGAGCCAAUUAUUUUCUCCAAACAAUCCAGACACACAAAACUGAAGGUCACAGAGAAUGUCAGUAGCCCAAAUACAUAUAUUUUUAAAGUGGAUACAACCCAGAUUGUACUGGCCCUGACUCCUAGACCUCAGCUCUUGAAUACAUUUAAAUAAUUUAAAAUUUAAAAAAGUAAAAAUGAAAGAGAAGUUUUAGCCUUCAAUUUAAAAAGAUACAUUUUUGCAAGUCCAGUUGUAACAAUUCUGAUUUUUCUGCAACGCUUUUAUUAGAUAAAAACCAUUACUAAAACUUUUAUUUGACUUCAGAAAAUCCUGUUUAGAUCAAUACUUUUCAUGAUGCUAAAACUUUUGGGGGAAUUCCCGUUUGUGGCGCUGCCGAAACAAAUCUGACUAGGAACCAUGAGGUUGCAGGUUUGAUCCCUGGCCUCGAUCAGUGGGUUAAGGAUCUGGCGUUGCCGUGAGCUGUGGUGUAGGUCACAGACUAAGCUCAGAUCUGGUGUUGCUGUGGCUGUGGUGUAGGCUGGCAGCUAUAGCUCCGAUUAGACCCCUAGCCUGGGAACUUCCAUAUGCUGUGGGUGUGGCCAUAAAAAGACAAAAAGACAAAUUUUAAAUUUAGCACUAAAGCUUCUAAAUGGUUGUUAUUUAUAUCUGAGUCAAAAUUCUAGAUUUCUAUAGGGAGACUAUAACUUUAUGCUGUUUAUUUCAUCUUGGUUAUAAAAAUAAAUACUACACUGCUAAAAAAUUUUCUUUCUCAACUUUGGGCCAUUCACUGUCUUUUCUAUAUCAAAAGUUAAAAUUAUUGUGUUUCUGUAUCUAAUAAUACUGGUUAAGCACAGAUUUUGAGAUAAAAAGAAAAUGGGGUUUAAUAUUUUAUCAUUAUAACCUGUUAUAAUGAGGAGGCCAGAUCAGAGGUUUUCCUAAGAAAGCUAACUUUAAACUCAGUAUUGAUUUUCCUCCUAUAAUUCACACUUGACUAUUGAUUCAGAUGCCCAACACUCUUGUAGGAUUUCAAACCUUCUCUUGAGAGUUCUUCACAAGGCUUUCAAGUCUGAAACAGAGCUUCAGUAGCAAAACAGAGGUGACCAAGGAGAGUCAACUGUUCAAUUCUUCCUGAGGUCUGUUAAUAAUGCACCCCCACUUCCCUGGACCUUGGGUUAAUUUAGACUUUCUCUGUGAACUAUGGCGAAGGUUAGUUCCACAUUAGACUCUGACAAACAAUAUGAAAGCAAAUUGACCUCACCACUGUGUGCAACGGUAUCAGUCAUUAAGGUCUAAGGCAGAAUCGCCUUCCUGCUGUGUUCAUAAUAAUUAUUCCUGGAAUUAUGCUGUGUGGGGCUGGUGGGGGGUGUGCACAGCUUCCGUGAUGUUCAAGGUGAAAGACUGGUAGCCAAGCCGGGAAAUGUAUCUCCUGCUAAAGGCAUAAUACAAAAAUAUCCCUGAGUUCCUAUUGUGGCUCAGUGGGUUAAGGACUCAACAGUGUCUCCAAAAGGAUGCGGGUUCAAUCCCUGGCCUUGUGCAGUGAGUUAAGGAUCCAGCAUAGCCACAAGGUACAGUGUAGGCUGCAGAUGUGUCAAGGUCUGGUGUUGCUCUGGCUGUGGUGUAGGCCGGCAGCUGCAGCUUCAAUUCAACACCUACCCUGGGAACUUCC
RNAcentral lists this long non-coding RNA (6673 nucleotides) under Sus scrofa (pig). RNAcentral describes it as "lncRNA (ENSSSCG00000055862.1)". The stretch from base 2814 to 2885 matches the Rfam family "tRNA". Lineage: Eukaryota; Metazoa; Chordata; Mammalia; Artiodactyla; Suidae. The record is from RNAcentral.